Molecule: long non-coding RNA, 9013 nt
Filed under: Nicotiana tabacum (common tobacco)
Lineage: Eukaryota; Viridiplantae; Streptophyta; Magnoliopsida; Solanales; Solanaceae
Description: long non-coding RNA (NTAB_LNC003454)
Source: RNAcentral
UGGAGAGCAGGGAAUACAUUUCAAGUCAGCAGUCAGGGGCCCGCCUAGAGAGCAGGGAAUACAUGUCAGGUUAGCAGUCACGAGCCCGCCUGGAGAGCAGAGAAUACUUUCAAGUUCAGCAAUCAGGAGCCCGCUUGGAGAGUAGGGAAUACAUGUCAAGUUAGCAGCCAGGAGCCCGCCUGGAGAGCAGGGAAUACUUUCAAGUUCAGCAAUCAGGAGCCCGCCUGGAGAGCAGGGAGUACAUUUCAAGUUUAGCAGUCAGGCAUCCACCUGGAGAAAGGAAAAGCAUCUCAGGUUACAAUUCGAGUUCAGCAAUCAGGCGUCCACCUGUAGAAAAGGAAGAUAUCUCAGAUUAUAAGUCAAGGCGGCAGCAAAGGAAUUUAAUCGGGAGAAUACAAGUAAACAAAUCAACAAGAACCACAAGAACAAGUUUGAAGAUGUAUAUAGGAUUUUGUAAUGCAUAGAUUAUAGUCUAGUCUAGCUUCUUUUUAUUUUAUCACGGUGUAAUAAGGGGUUCAGUAAGCAGUAGCAGCAGCAACAACAACAACAGUGAAAUCACAGCUUCAUGGUAGUCCCAGCUACCAAAACUUCCCGAACUACACUGACCUGAUUCCUUUAUAGCCAAGGAUAUGUAGGCAACCUCGAAAGCAGGGUACGGUUAAAUCUUUCAAAAAUGCUUCCCACGGAGUUUUCAAACGGGCAAAAAUCGCUCGUAUCCACUCACUUUAUCUUUGCGCGAAAACUCUUCGUGUUUCCGAGCAAAGAGGGGUAGCUGUGAGCACGUGAUUUUUUCCCUACAUGAAUUACUCCCAUAAAUUCAAAACAAAAUAACUUAUUUUCAUCAUUUGCAAUUUUUGUGGAUUUUGUGGCAUUUUCUGAUAAUUGUUUGCAUUUGUAUGUGCAUGUUUAUUUUAUUUAAUUCAUAAAAAUACAAAAAUACAUUGCAUUUGCAUUUAGGAUCUAAUUUUGCAGUCGUGAAUUAAUUGGUAAUUUAGUGUUUUAUAAAAAAUGGAAAAAAUCACAAAAUAGUUUAUUUUGCACUUUUCAAACUUUGGUAGUUUUCCUCGAAUUUGGUUUUUAAUUAUUUGUGGUAAAUGUUAUUUAGAGUUAAUUAAUGUAAUAGGAUAAUUUGAUUAGUGAUUUUUAUUCUUAAAAAGAAUUUUGGAAAAUAAAAAAAAGGGAAAGAAAAGAAAGGGAAUGGAAAUAAGAAAAGGGCUGUUUUGGGCUAACAUUGCCAAGCCCAAACGUUCCCCCCUUUAACUCGCCCAAUUUUUGGCCCAAACCCUCCCCAAUAUCCGGUCUAGCCCCAUCGCCUAGUCAAAACGACGUUGUUUCGUUAAGCUUGAUCUGAGCCGUUGAUAGUUCCUAAUCCAACGGACAGGAACUGGCUUCCCGUUAGCAUAUAUAUGCCCGAACGGCACCCCCCCCAGUCCAUCCACCCCCCGUCUCUUUUCAACUCAAACCCUAGAGAACCCGUCGCCCUAAUUCCCACCGCCAUUAAUGGCGGCGCCACCUCCGUUCGCCACCAAAUUCACACCCCUGAACCCUCUCACCCCCCUCUCUCCAAAUCUCAACAUAGCUCCCCUCAAAUCCCUCUCAAUCUCGUCGAAUCUUAAAUCUAAAGUCAGAGUUCGAAGCCCUAAAAAGCCAAAAUUGUUCUGCCUUUGAUUCCGUGGCUUGAAUGACCACGAGCAUCCAAGUUUUCAAGAUUUUCGAAGUCUAGUUUGGAAUAAGAAGUGUUGAUCGUUUGUUCUUAACAAAGAACAAGCGGUUAACACCGAUUGUGUUAAAUUAAAGGUCCAAUAUUGGGUUCGAGUGUGAAUCAGUAAGUGUUCUUAAUUUUUAUUUCUUGCCCUUAUAUGCCGUUUCAUCUUCCUACUCCUUUCUUCUUGGUCUUCCCGUUCUGUGGAUGUUUGAAAAGUAGAUAGAAGUUUAGACCUAGUUUUUUUUUUUGAAUAAUUUAGUGUUCGUACUUUCUCCAUCAGAUUUUCGGUCAUCUCUUUUCAGGUUUUAAAUACUGUUCUUUGCUCGUUUUGUUAUUUAUGACAUUUUUGAUAAUUAGCUUAAUUUAGGCUUUGUUGAUUCAGUAAUUUGAUUAACUCCGGCUAAGUAUUUAGUUUUAAAAGAAAUCAAUUGCUUGGUUAGAUUUCGAUUGUUUGAAGUCAUUUAAUUUAGCUAAAUGGGUUUCUGAGUUUUGUUCGGGCCUUAAGUUCAAUUAUGGCCAUCUCAUUUGGGUUUGAACCAUUGGGUCAAAGUUGACCAUGCCCGUUUUGGUUUCAAGGGAAAUAAUCAGGGUUCGAGGGGUAGAUUAGGAAAUUGGGGAAGGGAAUAUUUCUGUAACUACCUGGGGAAGCUUCUAGGAAGCUGGUGUUAGGGUUAGUUGUGAAUUUCUGGUUUUUAACUAGGGAUGUCUAAGCUAUAAUGAAAAUUCCAAAAGGGACAAAAUGCAAAAACUGAGUCUUAGGGGUUGCCCUAAUGCCUUGCCUUUAAAGGCACCUUUACUUGGCAUUGAAGGGACGCUUUUGGAAGAGAAAAUUCCCUAAAAACUAAAACGGCUAGCUCAAAAGAAGAACAUUGAAUUCCCUACUUUUCUUAGUAAAACUGGUCCAAAAUUGAGUCCUGAUUUCUAUUUUUCUCAAAUCCUUUUGUUUAUCUAUAAUUUCUGAAAAGUCAUAAAUACUUAUCUAGGUCGAAGAUGGUCUGAUUCUGGGUUUUAAAACUGGUUUUGAGUUGCUGUGAGGUUACUGUUCCAUUGUUACUGCUGGGCACUGUUUUGCUGCUUUUCUACUGCUUCCUCACUUCUUUUUCCUUUAAUUUCUAGGUAUAUAUCUCUGAUUAAAGCCAUGUAAGAUGGUUGAUCGGAUCGUGAAGAAAUAAAGGCCUUCUUUUCUUACUAGCUAUCUUUUGUCUUUAUUUUUGUUCCACUGGAUUUGCUUAGUUUAAUUUCCUGGGUGUAGUAUGUUUAAAGUAGAGUUACACUUUGAAUUUUGAGGUUACAUUAAAAAUUGUAAUUGAACCUCGUUUGGCAUGUAUUGGUUUUCAGUUUGUUUUGGAUUCUGGUUUCAUGAGUUGGAUUGAAGGCAUGUUGUUCAGCUUUUCUCUAGUUUUGGCUAUACAUUUCGAUUUUACAUUACGUGAUAACAACUUUGUGUAGAAUCAAACAUCAUGACUAGUGUAGGAUAUGUAGUCUAUUGUGAUGUGUAUUGUCUUGCUCAGAAUUAGCUGCACUUUGAAAUAUGGUCGUAAACUCAUGUUGAGAGUAGUGGAUUUGCCUAUCAGUGUUGAUUAAAUUGAGGCAUCAAUAAGUUUAAGGUUGAUAUCUUGUGAAAUGAGACUUCAAAUCUUGCAAGUUGAGGCCUGGUUUAUUGUUAUGAAGAAAGGGUUAAACAUAUGUUGUUUGCUUCUAAGAAGACUCGAUAUUGAGUCUUAAGCCUCCAGCAAUUGACCUUAAAAUCUGUCUUGGGCUCGUUUGGGCCCAAUGUUUAUUUUCCUUGUGAUGUGGCCUUGUGAGGCCAAGGCAAACGUGGGUCCAAGGUGCAGACAUAACCAGAAAUGCAAUUUUAGUUGCUCUAUGUUUCAAUAAUCAAAGAAGCAAAAAUAUUACUUUAAUCAUGUGCUCAAUAUAGCUUUAGCUGAUUGGUAUUCAAUAAAUUGUGUACGAUUCUGAGUUCUUAUGUGUGAUUUGGCGUUGAAACUUGCAGCUGGGCCUUUAGCAUUGGCUCCUUUCGAUGCGCUGCCAAUUUCGUUCAAGCUUAGACUUUUGUUUCCAAUGUGCAAAAAUGACAAAUGUGAUUUGGGCCUGCUUUUGAUUAGGCUUUAUGUUAACGAAACGUUGAUCCAUUUUGUUGAUCCUUAAAGGUUGAAUUAUUUGUUUUCCUAGAGGGAAUUCAAAUCACCUUAGACCUUUAGUUAACUAACUAGACCCUUUAAAAUGGGUUGAGGCACGCCCUAUUAGCCAAAAUGUAUAACUUAUGGCCUUCAAUAUUUUGUUCAAUCUUAGACAAAUAGAUUGGAGGUGUGCCAUGCCGAACAAAACCUUAAGUUGCAUGGCCUUAGUUUAAUUAAUAAAUCCUUAGAAACCAAGGCGUGCCACUUAGCAAAUUUUCCGUGGCCCUCGCAAAGUUGCAAACACGUAGCUGUUUUAGGCGCGUUAUUUUAAUAAAUUACGUUCUUAAAUUUGGGUGCGCAUUUAUGUGACCCAAAUCCAAAUCUCAAUAAUGUUAGAUAAAAUAUGUCGAGAGCCGCGGGUGCAUUUAUGUGACGUGGUUCAAGACAUAUUUUAAGUGACGUUGCAAUUUUUCCUUAAAAAUAAUUAAAAACGGUUGUAAAGUUAAAAUUGAACCAUAGGCUAAAACAUGUAUUAAAAUCAAGUAAAUAGGCCAAAUACAACAGUUGAGCGACCGUGCUAGAACCACGGAACUCGGGAAUGCCUAAUACCUUCUCCCGGGUUAACAGAAUUCCUUACCCGGAUUUCUGUGUUCGUAGACUGUAAUACAGAGUCAAUCUUUUCCUCGAUUCGGGAUUCAACCGGUGACUUGGGACUCCAUAAAUUAUCCCAAGAGGCGAAUCUGAAUUUUUAAUAAAUUAAUCUCAUUUCGAUUGUCACUUAAAUUGGAAAAACUCCCUUAUACCCUUACGGGGUGUAGGAAAAAGGAGGUGUGACAGGGUUGAUUUGGGGGCUCAUUGGUAGACCCAAUAAGGAUGUGUAUUCUACACCAGGUCGGAUUAGUUGACUCUAUACUGCUAUUGUUGAGGGAUGUGCCAUUCGCUUAGAGUUGAGCUUAUUCGUUUUAUGAUAUGAUCUAUGUGUUACUCCUCUAUAAUACGAGGGGUUGUGAUUUAUUGGUUAUAUGCACACAUGGUCCAGUUCUGUUUGGGUCUUGUAGCAAAUUCGAGCGAAAUGGUUAUUGAGGUGUGGGAUAGUUGAUUGCGCCUUGGUUAUGGCCUUUUCCGGUUGUGGUAUAUUGUAUUUUUUGCUUCUUCAUGGUUAUGGCCAGGCACUUUAUGUACUUGAUGUCAAAUUGCAUGUGGUUGUUGAAUUGGAGCAUUGUGGCUUAAGGUAUUGCAUACGGACCAGUAUUUGGAUGGGGUCACACAUUGCAGCGGAGUCAUGUUGAGAUAUAUCCUUUGUGUUAGAUUCGCAUGUUUUGGCUCUAUAGCGUGUGAUUGGUUCUGAGCAGUGCAAUGUGAUGGUAUUUUUUGAGCUUACGGGACGGUUCCCUCGUUUGAGUCAUUUUUCCAUGAUUGAGUACAUUUGAAUUAGUUCUUAUUGGUACACAGAUUGCACAAUUUAUGAUUCUAGGUAGUAUUGGGUGGCAUGUCAAUAGAAUAGUUGUGCUUGAUGAGGUAAGGUCAUUGGACCUAGAAUGGAUACUAUCAGAUUUGAUUACAGUAUGUUUGGAGGGUUAAUAUCGAGAGACGACUUAGAAAUUUGGCUUUGGUUCUUGCCGGACGAGAGAGGGCCCCAUUACUUGUUGAUCUGAUAAGUGGUUAUGAGUUUCAGUGUGUUUCUUUCAUCAUUGGCAGCGUACAAAGGUUCAGAACAAGAUUUGGGUUGAUAUGAGGUUUGUUGCCGGUGUCGGGUUGGUUAUCGAGCAGCUAUUGCAGUCAGAAGUUAUUGCUAUGAGUAUUUGAAUUAUGUGGUAUAUCAUGUGAUUUUGUCUUGGGUCAUGGUUAUGGCUUGGUGCAGCUUGUUCAAACUUAUACAGUGUGUAGAUGUGAGAUUCGGGUCUUGUAGGAAUUUCGGGUGUUGUAAAUUGGAUUCUAAGGUUAUGAGGUAGGUUGAAGUAAUGAUCUUCAGUUGUGUUGUACCUAUGUGGAAUAAGGUGACGUGGUAUCACCCCCGGGUAUGUGCAUGGUAAUGUUACGGCGGUUUGAUGGCUUUAGAACGACUCUUGGAACGCUCGAGGAUAAACGUAUGUUUAAGUGGGGGAGAAUAUAAUGACCCGACUGGUCGUUUUAAGCAUUUGCACUUUGCUCGGUGUUUUGAUGCCAUGAGUAGCUUCGUAUGUUGUAUUACAACUUGUGUGUAUCGUCGAUUCGGUUUUCGGGUGAUUCGUAAUUAGUUUGGAAGAAUGAAUUUCAUUGUUGAAGUUUUAAAGUUGGAAGAGUUGACCAAGUUUGACUUUUUAGUAUUUGACCUCGGAUUGCAGAUUUGAUGGUUUCGUUAUGUCAGGAUGGUGAUUUAGGACUUGGGCAUAUGCCCGGAUUUGCAUUUGGAUAUUUCUAGAAGGAUUCGACGUUAAUUGGCGAAAGUUGAAAAUUUGAAGGUUUGGAAAGUUAAUAAGUUUGACCAAGAGUUGACUUUGAGGGUAUCAGAUUCGAAUUGUGGUUCCGGUAAUUGGAAUAGCUUUGUUAUGUCAUUCGAGACUUGUGUGAAAAAUUUGAGCUCAUUCCGGGUUGAUUUGAUAUGUUUAGGCACGAGUUUUAGAAGUUGAAAGAUUCAAAGUUUAUUGCAUUUAAUUCGAGACACGAUUCGUUGUUUCGAUGUUGUUAUGCAUGAUUUGAGGUCUCGAGUAAGUUAGUGUUAUGUUAUGGGACUUAUGGGAAUGUUCUUGCAUGGCCCCGAAGGGCUCGGACGUGUUUUAGAUCGAAUUUGGAUCAUUUUCCUUUAUUUGGCAUUGCUGGUUUUGUUGAGCAUCUGAUUUCCUUGUUCGCGAUCGCGUAGAGUUAAUCGCGAUCAUGUAGAGUUUUUUUAUGGCUGGGUAAAGGUUGUUCAUUGUGUCCAUGAGUCCUCAGACACGUUCGCGUAGGUUGCUACAGAUGAGCAUCGCGCUCGCGCAAGUGUGCACGCGUUCGCGUAGUGAUUUGGGCUGAGCUGGGCAGAGGCUGGUUUCCCCUUCACGUUCGCAUUGAUUUUGUUGCGAUCUCAUAGUUCAGAUGCAUGUGGUCAUCGUGUUCGCAUGGCCAGUUACGUGAUCGCCGUUGGGUAUUUGUUGGGAGGUAGUGAUGGUUGUUCUUCGCGUUAGCGAAGGUUGCUCCGUGAUCGCGGAGAGUAAUUCUAGUCAGUGCAUUUUUCUUCUUCGUGAUCGCGAUUCAUUAAUUCGCCCAGUGAUUAUAAAGUACUCUAUUUCAGAUGUUUCUACCAUUUUUGCAUAUUUGGAGCUAUGGAGCUCGGGUUGAGGCGAUUUUUGAAGCGAUCUUCACCACAUGGAUUGGGGUAAAUGUUCUCUACUUAGUUUUGAUUUUAUUUCAUGAAUCUAUCUUUGUUUUUGGUAUUUUAUUGAAGAUUUCAAGAGAGAAAUUGGGGGUUUGUCUAAAAUUUUAUAGAGUGAAUUUUUGAGUUUUGAACAUCGAUUCGGAGUGGAAUUUGAGUGAAACUAGUAUGGUUGGACUCGUAAUUGAAUGGGUUGUCGAAUUCUGUGAGUUUUGUUGGGUUCUGAGGUGCGGUCCCGGGUUUGACUUUUUGGUUAACUUUGGGGUUCGAUUAAAAUUUUGUCGGGUUCUGAGGUGCGAAAAUCAUGCUUCUGCCAGUGUGUCUGGCAUGUUAUACAAAUGUAUACUUGAACUAUUAUUGAUGGGUACAGACCUUUAAUGUGUUGCAUAGAAACCUUUUAAGUGUUUGAAUGACAUGAUCAAAAAUUUAGUUUCAAAUGACUCAUAACAACAUGUUUACACUUUGAAAGUUAAGAUUAUGAUAUAUUUAGCUAGAAAGUAUGUGGUUAUAAAAUGUAUAGACUUAUGGAAGUGUUAUCCAAGAGCGCAAAUACAUGUGCAAAUAAUUGUGUUUCGUCACAUGCACAUCACGUGUGGCCAUUUUUAGGGCUUACUAAUGAUUCCAUUAGGGGUGUGCAUUCGAUUUAUCGAUUUGAUUUUGACUCUUAUCGAUAAUUACUUAUCGAUUAUCGAUUUGUACAUAUGCUUAUCGUUAUCGUUUCAAUAAGGUUUCGAUUUAUCAAUUUUUGGGGCUUAUCGAUUCAGUUAUCGAUUACACCAAUAAGAAAAUUUACGGGAUUUCAAGGAAAGUAUAUCGCUAUAAACACGCCUAAGAACAUCUACUUUCAUCAACCACUUGAUCAAUUUUAUCAUUUUCAGCCAUGUGAAGUAAAUGAAGAAUGUAACUUACAGUCUUAAACGAGUUGAAUAAAGCAAAGCAAGACGAAGUCAGUACUCCUCGCUCUUGACCUAAAAAUUAUGGCUGCAAAUCCAGGAAAUAUCAAUAACAGCAAAAAAGAACUGGUCAAUUGUCUGUAUGUUAAAAUGUAAUACCCGUUAAAAAGAAAAGUCACAACACACAAACACUUGUAGUUUGUACUGAAGUGCCAGCAUAGAUACAAUAAGAGAGAGACUAUGGAUUACCUGGGUGAGCGGAUUCUGUGGCCAAACCCAGUGGUGACUCUUUGUACAUUUAUAUUUAUAUAAAGUGAAAGAAGUAACAUAAAGUGGGGCAGACUUCUUUUUGACAUACUAAUCAUUUCUAUACAUCUGUAGUUCUUGCCUUCUUGGAACAUGAUUAGGCCUUUUCAUAAUUAUCCUUUUUCAUUUCUUAUAAUAUAAUACUAUUGUGAGUUGUUUAAUCCUUACCAAUUUUAGUUACUAUUAUAAACCAGCUGAUGAAAACAGAGCUUGAAUUGCAGAGCUACUAUAACUUUUUGAACCACAGUGGAUGAAAAUUGCAGGCAUCUAACUUGAAUUAUCUUUUUUGGAUGUCCAUUAUUAGUUGGAAUCUGAAGCUAGUUCAAGAUACAACAGGACACGUUUUCUGAAAAAUAAACGUGGAAGUAGAAAUUAUAUAGCACAAAAUAGCAUGAAAGAAACCAAACAAAAAGAUAAUCAAAUCACUGAAAAGAGAGCAGGUAAGUGAGAUUUUCAUGUACCCGUGAAAGAAGAACCAAAAGCGGCGUUGAAGAGUGAAGAAUAAGGGUAAAGAAAAUAAUAGGGUUAGGGAGUUAGGUAAAGGAAAGGGUAUUAUAGAAUAAGGGUAUAUUUGUCUUUUUAGUAUACCUUAUCGGUUUAUCGAUAAACCGAUUACCGAAGAGGACAAAAUCGAAAUCGAAAUCGAUAAAUCGAUAAG